GGGAAUCUACCGAGCCCUGCGGAAUAGCUCCGGGAAACUGGAAUUAAUACCGCAUACGCCCUACGGGGGAAAGAUUUAUCGGGGUUUGAUGAGCCCGCGUUGGAUUAGCUAGUUGGUGGGGUAAAGGCCUACCAAGGCGACGAUCCAUAGCUGGUCUGAGAGGAUGAUCAGCCACAUUGGGACUGAGACACGGCCCAAACUCCUACGGGAGGCAGCAGUGGGGAAUAUUGGACAAUGGGCGCAAGCCUGGUCCAGCCAUGCCGCGUGAGUGAUGAAGGCCCUAGGGUUGUAAAGCUCUUUCAACGGUGAAGAUAAUGACGGUAACCGUAGAAGAAGCCCCGGCUAACUUCGUGCCAGCAGCCGCGGUAAUACGAAGGGGGCUAGCGUUGUUCGGAAUUACUGGGCGUAAAGCGCACGUAGGCGGAUAUUUAAGUCAGGGGUGAAAUCCCGGGGCUCAACCUCGGAACUGCCUUUGAUACUGGGUAUCUUGAGUAUGGAAGAGGUAAGUGGAAUUGCGAGU
RNAcentral lists this ribosomal RNA (520 nucleotides) under uncultured bacterium. RNAcentral's name for it is "bacterial SSU rRNA". It matches the Rfam family "Bacterial small subunit ribosomal RNA", at positions 120 to 674 of the family's 1533-position model. The record is from RNAcentral.